Molecule: ribosomal RNA, 693 nt
Filed under: Triticum aestivum (bread wheat)
Lineage: Eukaryota; Viridiplantae; Streptophyta; Magnoliopsida; Poales; Poaceae
Description: partial small subunit ribosomal RNA
Source: RNAcentral
AUGGCGACCACCGCCGGCGGGAGGAGCCCCGCGAUGAGCAUGAAGCUGCUGGUGCACACCAAGGCGGGGCGCGUGCUGUUCGCGGAGGCCGGCAAGGACGUCGUCGACUUCCUCUUCUCCCUCCUCGCCCUGCCCGUCGGCACCGCCGUCGGCCUGCUCGGGAGGCGCUCCAUGCCCGGCAGCGCCGGCGACCUCUACGCCAGCGUCCAGAGGCUCGACGCCGACUACCUCCUGCCCGGCGCCGACAUCGACGCGCUCCUCCGCCCCGCCGAGAUGCGCUGGGCGCGGUCCGACUCCGGCGGCUCUGGGCAGGCGGCGGUCUCCGCCGCCACGGGAAGGGCCAAAGGGUUCGUGCAGGGCGUCGUGACGUACACGGUCACGGACAACCUCACCGUGACCCCCAUGUCCGCCAUCUCCAGCAUCACCCUGCUCAACACCUUCCGCGUCAGGGACCUCAGCGCGCUACAGGAGAAGAUCGUGCGGAUCGGCUACAAGGAGGGUUUGGCGAUUCUCAAGGCGUCGCUGCAGUCAAAGACCGUUCUCACCGACGUCUUCCUCGCCCACAAGGCCACAAGGCUCCAUGAUCGGCUGCCUAAAUUAGGUUCACUGUUAAGUGCUCUUGUGGCUGUGCUUGGUGUUCUUCUCUUAUGCAAUGCUGGAUAUGAGUUCCUCCCGCAACUGAUCAUUAAUUAA